This 283-nucleotide ribosomal RNA is filed under the name Veronica intercedens. RNAcentral describes it as "5.8S ribosomal RNA". The stretch from base 108 to 263 matches the Rfam family "5.8S ribosomal RNA". Rfam says of the family: 5.8S ribosomal RNA (5.8S rRNA) is a component of the large subunit of the eukaryotic ribosome. It is transcribed by RNA polymerase I as part of the 45S precursor that also contains 18S and 28S rRNA. Functionally, it is thought that 5.8S rRNA may be involved in ribosome translocation. The record is from RNAcentral. Lineage: Eukaryota; Viridiplantae; Streptophyta; Magnoliopsida; Lamiales; Plantaginaceae.
CGAACCCCGGCGCGGCAAGCGCCAAGGAAAACUUAAAGGAAUCGUCGUCCCCCUUGCGCCCGUUCGCGGUGCGCCUCGGGUGCGCGACGUCCCUCAAAUGUCUAAACGACUCUCGGCAACGGAUAUCUCGGCUCUCGCAUCGAUGAAGAACGUAGCGAAAUGCGAUACUUGGUGUGAAUUGCAGAAUCCCGUGAACCAUCGAGUCUUUGAACGCAAGUUGCGCCCGAAGCCUUCUGGCCGAGGGCACGCCUGCCUGGGCGUCACGCAUCGCGUCGCCCCCUCC